CGCGGCCUAUCAGCUUGUUGGUGAGGUAGUGGCUUACCAAGGCGACGACGGGUAGCCGGCCUGAGAGGGUGACCGGCCACACUGGGACUGAGACACGGCCCAGACUCCUACGGGAGGCAGCGGUGGGGAAUAUUGCACAAUGGGCGCAAGCCUGAUGCAGCGACGCCGCGUGAGGGAUGAAGGCCUUCGGGUUGUAAACCUCUUUCGUCAGGGAAGAAGCGAAAGUGACGGUACCUGAAGAAGAAGCACCGGCUAACUACGUGCCAGCAGCCGCGGUAAUACGUAGGGUGCGAGCGUUGUCCGGAAUUAUUGGGCGUAAAGAGCUUGUAGGCGGUUUGUCGCGUCUGCCGUGAAAACCUAGGGCUUAACUCUGGGCGUGCGGUGGGUACGGGCAGGCUAGAGUGUGGUAGGGGAGACUGGAAUUCCUGGUGUAGCGGUGAAAUGCGCAGAUAUCAGGAGGAACACCGAUGGCGAAGGCAGGUCUCUGGGCCAUAACUGACGCUGAGAAGCGAAAGCAUGGGGAGCGAACAGGAUUAGAUACCCUGGUAGUCCAUGCCGUAAACGUUGGGCGCUAGGUGUGGGGCUCAUUCCACGAGUUCUGUGCCGCAGCUAACGCAUUAAGCGCCCCGCCUGGGGGAGUACGG
RNAcentral lists this ribosomal RNA (644 nucleotides) under uncultured Piscicoccus sp. RNAcentral's name for it is "bacterial SSU rRNA". It matches the Rfam family "Bacterial small subunit ribosomal RNA", at positions 232 to 885 of the family's 1533-position model. The record is from RNAcentral. Lineage: Bacteria; Bacillati; Actinomycetota; Actinomycetes; Micrococcales; Dermatophilaceae.